GCACCGUGGACAGCGGCUGCAGUUCAGUGCAGGACGACGGCGAGACGAGCGGAGCGGAGCCUCACCUUCCGCCGCGAUCGCCGUUUUCCUUCAUCAUCUGCCCUUUCUUUAUCAUUUAAAAACAAGUGUUCCGAGCUGAUUGCUAUGUGCUAUGUGCACCGACCCUCUCCCCCCUCGCUGAAACAUCCACUUUGAUUUGUGAAAUUAAGCAUCGCAACAUGAAGAAGUUUCGGAAGGUUUUGGACGGCCUUACGACCUCCGCUCCGGCCGGCGUCGGCGGCGGGGCUGCGACACCUCUGGCCCCGGGGACGGUCCCCAGAGAGCUGGACGUACGGGAGACCUUAGUAUCCGACAACUUUCAGGUCUGUAAGACGACACGACAUGGAUUCCCGUUCCAGCCCACCGCCCUCGCGUUCGACCCAAUUCAGAAGGUUCUGGCCAUCGGAUGCCGGGCAGGUGGGAUGAGGAUACUGGGGAGGCCAGGUGUUGACUGUCACUGCCAGCAUGAGAGUGGAGCUGCUGUCCUUCAGCUGCAGUUCCUCAUCAACGAGGGGGCACUAGUCACGGCAUGUGCAGACGACACACUUCACCUCUGGAACUUGCGGCAAAAACAUCCCGCAGUUCUACACUCUCUGAAGUUUAACAGAGAGCGCAUCACUUUCUGCCACGUCCCGUUCCAGAGUAAAUGGCUGUACGUGGGGACGGAACGUGGAAACACACACAUUGUCAACAUAGAGUCCUUCAUUCUCUCCGGAUAUGUCAUCAUGUGGAACAAGGCCAUAGAACUAUCCACCAAAACCCACCCUGGACCCGUGGUGCACCUGAGUGACAGACCCAGGGAUGAAGCCAAGCUACUGAUUGCAUUUGAGAGUGGGACUGUGGUUCAAUGGGACCUGCGUGCUAAAAAAGCCGACUUUAGAAUCCAGUAUGAUGAGGCCAUCCACUCUGUCAGUUGGCACCACGAGGGGAAGCUUCUUAUGUGCAGCCAUGCAGAUGGCAGUCUGACCACCUGGAACAUGAGGAACACCACCAAACCCUUCCAGGUCACCUUCCCGCACGGAAAAACUCAGAAGGACAGCAAGAAGACAGAAUCAUGCAAGCCCAUCCCAAAGGUUGAGUUUAAGACAAGCCGGAGCAGCAGUGAACCUUUCAUCGUAUUUUCGGGGGGGCUGUCCUAUGACAAGGCUGGCAAGAGGCCGGCACUCACCAUCAUGCACGGAAAGUCUGUCACCGUGCUGGAGAUGGAUCACCCCAUUGUGGAUUUCCUGGUGCUCUGCGAGACCCCAUACCCAAAUGAGGUGCAGGAGCCUUACGCAGUGGCCGUCCUGCUGGAGAAGGAUUUCAUCAUGGUGGACCUGACACAGAGCAAUUUCCCGGUCUUUGAGAAUCCGUACCCCAUGGACAUCCAUGUGUCCCCGGUCACCUGCACGGCUUACUUCACUGAGUGCCCCGCCGACCUCAUCCCCGUUCUCUACUCCCUGGGCAUCAUGCAGAAAAAGCAGACCUUCAGUCACAAGGAGUGGCCAGUGAGUGGUGGAGCUGCAGGUGCCCAAACCGAGCCAGAAAUCAUCCUCACAGGGCACGCCGACGGCUCGGUAAAGUUCUGGGACGCGUCUGCAAUGACCCUGAAGAUGCUCUACAAGGUAAAGACGUGCAAGGUGUUUGAGAAGCCGAAGGUGGCGGAGGGCCGGGGGUCAGAGGUCAUGGAGGAGGACCCCUACGUGGUGCAGUCUCUCAUCUGGUGCCCCCACAGCCAGCUGCUAUGUGUGGUGGGCUUCUCAGCCUAUGCCAUCCUCUACCGAUUCAACAAGCAUGAUGCCACCGCUGAAAUAGUGCCCCUGGAGGUGUAUCUGCAGAGUGAAACAGAGGACAGUGUCUCUCCUGCGUCAGCUGAUGUCCAUCCUGCCACUGUGGAUCCCAGAAUCCGCUCACCACAGCCCUUCCCAGGAAAUCCUGUGAGCACCACGGUCAGCAGUGUGCGAGACAGCGCCCCCCACCUGAAGGUGAAGAUGCGCGCGGUGCGAAUGCCCGCCGGGUACCAGGCCCAGCUUGUCAUUCAGAUCCUGACCGCCGACGGGGAGCCUUCUCAGCAGAUCACCGGAGUAGAUGUCAAUUCCGCAUAUGGCCUGCUGGCUCUGGGAUGUGGUAACAAUCUGGUGCUGGUUGACUAUCUUCAGAAGAGUCUUCUGUUCUGCAUGAAUAUACAGGAGCUUCACAGUGACCCCUACCUACGAGUGCGUUCACCUCACAAGAUCAAGCAGUUUAGCACAGAUCACUUUAGUGUGCGUGGGCUGGCUAACUUCUGCUCUGACUCGAAGAAGAGGAUCCGUACGCCCAAUCAGAGCCUUACCGAACUCUCAGAUAACCCAGUGCCCCCUGAGCUGGAACGGAGCAGGUCACCCACCUCAGUUCCACACUGUGUCUCCCCUCCCAAUGACCCUGGCUGCGUACCAGAACCCGCCUCCGCUGUGAGGGCCAGUCACUACAGCUCAGUCUUGUACCUGCUGGACAGCGUUAAGGGGCCAGGCAGAAAGUUAAGUCUGCCGACUGAUCUUAAGCCCGAUCUUGAUCAUGUGAAUGGCCAGUGCUCUAGCGCAGCGGGCCAGUCCAUGGCCUCAGCGAAGCUCCCCGGGAAGCUCUCAGGUGCGACAGGAGCCACAGGCCCUGAGGCAGUCAGGCUGGGUCGUCGGGGACCGGGCCGGCCGCCCUUUCGCAAGGCUCAGUCUGCCGCAUGCAUGGAAAUCUCCCUGCCCGUGUCCCACUCAGAAGGGUAUGCAUCCCGACGAGCCAUGCUUCAGCAGCUUCAUGGAGUCAGUAUGUAUUCACACGACGAGCACCACGGCACUGCCUAUUCCUGGAGUGAGAGAGAAUCUCGUGAGAGUUCCUUCAGUCGCUCCCGGAGUUCUAGCAUCUCAAGUGUGGACCGAGAGGCCAAGGAAUCCGUCACCGCACUGCACUUCAUGGAGUCGUUUGCCCGCAAGACAGAUGCUGCCCCCUCACCCAGCCUGUGGGUGGGCACCAGCCUCGGUGUGGUGCUGGUCCUGGCCGUGUCAGCAUCUGCGGGAACCCAGGAGAACCAACAGGACUCUGUCACUAUGUCGCCUAGUGGCACUGUGCUAAUGGUCAAAGGUUCAGUUCUGAGGUUUGCAUCUCUGGACUUUAAUGGUAGCCUAAUCCACUCCCCAUACGAGGUGUGGCAGGACCCCCACCUCCAGGAGAAUCCUGAGCGCGGCCGUAGGUGCAAGCUGGCCGUUUCCCGCUCGUCCUCACAGGAAGUACCUGGCGAGGGCCACCUUGUCGUAGUAUGCACAGAGAAGCAGGCUAAAGUGUUCCUGAUGCCGGCACAGACCUGUCUGCAUGCCCACAGCAUCACCGAAUCAUCCUUUGUGCUGUGUGCCGACGUGGUGUCCAUCUGCAACAGCGUCUGUCUGGCCUGCUUCUGCGCCAACGGCCACAUCAUGACCCUCAGCCUGCCUAGUCUGAGACCCCUGCUGGAUGGCAGCUAUCUACCCCUGACGGACACCCGCAUCGCCCGCACAUUCUGCUUUGCCGGCGGCCAGGCUCUCUACCUGGAUUCCCCUACCGAGAUCCAACGGAUCACCUACAGCCAGGAGAUUUGUGACAACCUGCAGGAACUGCUGGGUGAAUUGUUUAUCCCACUGGAGACCCCAGAGGUGCAGAACCGUGGCUUCCUCAAGGGCUUCUUCGGGAGCAGUGUCCAGACUUUGGACAGGGAGGAGCUGUGUAAUCGGGGAGGCUGCAGCAGGGAAGGCAUCACGCAGCUUAGCCCAACACAUCCCUGGCCAAGCGAGUGUGGAGGUCCUGAGGGGAGGCGCCGGGGGAGUGGUGGGGGAGCUGGCGAAGGCCCGGCUGGCUCUGGAUGAGAGAGGGCAGCGCCUGGGGGAGCUGGAGGAGCGAACCUCCCACAUGAUGUCAAGCGCCGAGACCUUCUCCAAGCACGCCCAUGAGCUGAUGUUGAAGUGCAAGGACAAGAAGUGGUAUCAGUUUUAAAUGUUUCAUCAGCUGGACUCGAUCUGUGUCGUGUGGCCAUGUUGGCAUUCAGCAUGCAAGGACAAGGAAAGACCGUGUUCGCUGGCAAAAAGAGCGUGAUGGAGGCUUCUUAGAUGGGAAAAUGGGAGGUGAAGUGCCAGACGCUGUGGAUCGUGAUGAACUGGACUGAGAGCUGCAUGAGGAUGUUCUUCUGUUUCCUGUCCACACUGGACUUCCAUAUGUCUCAGUGUCUGAGUCCCUGUUUUGCCAUAUUUGGGGGGGGGGGGGGUUCUUGUGUCCCUGAGGUCCUGAAUUGCAACUCCUCUAAAGAUAAGACCUGAAGCAGACUGACAAAGAAUGUGCUUUGAAAAAACAAGUUACAUAAAAAGGGUAACUAUAAAACGAUGCUUAGAAAGUAUAUUUACAUUCUUUAUGGAAAACCUAUAUCUACCCACAUUGACCAAAAUAUAUUUUUUUUCUUUUCUCAAACAAAAACUGUUUUAUAUUCAGAAAUGGAGCUGCAGUGUGCUGCAGUGUUUACCUUUCAAACUGAGGGUGUUUGAAUCAUGUCUAAAAUGUCUGAAUGUUAUGACUCAGGGAACAUUCAGCCCUCUAGUUGUUGUUUUUGUAUUUCCAUAGAUAUUAGAACUGGCACAUAAUCAUGAAGAAACUAUUUUCAGUUUUUGUGUCAAAAUGCGCAGGAGUCGCAUGAUCUUAGUCUAUCGUGAAACAGUUUUAGCACAGCUGAAAAAGGUGUUAAAUAUAACAUGUUACAGAGAAACAUCCAGAAAGCUUUUAUAUCUGACUCAAUCAGUCAACUGUUCAGUAGUGUCUGAUGAAGAUUGACGUUUUUUGUCAGUGAUUUUGACAUGUGGGGCAUUGAGAUGGUUUAUUGCAGUGAAUCCAGUGGAUAUACCUUGUCUGCCAAAGCCAGUGACUGUAGUACACUUAUUCAUUUGCCUCACUUACCAUAUAGCUGUCUAAGUUAUGGUAGCAAAAUUUGCACAGUGAUGUCACACAUUUCUCGUAUCGUCUAAAACUGGGUAUAAGUUAAAAAGAGGCAUUAAAAACAAAGACCAAAAUGUGUGAUUAACAGAUCGUUAUGGACUUCCAUGAAUAGUGUCACUAUUAUGAAAACAAGUUGAAAAGUUCAGUCUUGUAGUUUUGUGGUACAUAUAUACAAUCGAAAUCAAAACUCAUGUUGAAGCUGAAUAUGUGUCUGCCUGUUGUUUUACUAAACAUCGCUUUGUAUAAUAUUGCUUGCUUCUAUGGUAACUUUCCAAAACCAGUCGAUAAUAAGAAAGAACUUUUUAAAUUUACAUUUGUAUAAUGUUUGUUGAUAUUUGUAAUGUUUGUAAUAUCGUGCAAAAAUUAUUAUGUUGUGUCAAUAUUGGCAUAUAAGUUCAAAUAUCCUCACAUUCCUUGAGGACUUAAAUUGCCAAAAUUCAUAGUAGUCGCUGUUUCUCAACUGAACUAUGGACGUAUAUUACAUUUAGGUUAAAAAGUGUAAAGGAAAUGCCAUUAACCAAUGUUUUGAUAUGACAGUAUUUUUUUUCAAUGUUUACAACAUCUGUGCUUUCUAAAAAAAUUAAAUGGCGGGUUGCUGGACCUGACCUGAUUGUGGGAAAUACUCAGGACCGACAACAAAUUCUCUCAGUAUUAAAGGUUCUUUGCAAAGCAGAAUCAUACCCCCUACAUACCUAUAAAUUUCAAAAUCAGACCAUCUUUUAUCGCUCGCUGUUUGUGGUAAAUAUUGGUCUAUUUUAGUAUCUUUUCUCAUGUGUAACGUAGAAAAGGCCCAUCAAACAUUACGAAUGAUGCGGUUAAAGUUAAUAAAUUUGACAAGAGUGCAUUUCUGAGGGUCCUGUAGUUUUUAUUUUUUAAAGACCACUUCGUGAAGUUUAAGAAAGAUAUAUAAUUUUUUGCCUUUUGUGUGUCUCAGAAAUAUGACGUGUUGUUAAAUAUUCUUGUAUUAUUGGUAAUACUUGCGUUGAACAUAUCAGUGCACUAGCUUUAAUGAAUAAAGAAUGAAAAUAGAAGUGCUUUUGAUAUAAAAUAUAAAAACGGGGAUACAUACAGUAACCAUAACUUACGUAACCCUAACUGUAUUUUCAAUAGACAGAGCCGCACUUCAUGACUGCCUCUUGCCAAAACUGUAUUUGAAAUUGUAUUUUUGUUAUAGAAUUAUUUGUUCUUUUUAUCAGAGAGAAGAAAGAAUUCUCCUGUCAAACUACUGUCUUCUGUUUUUUUAAUUGAUAUUACUGUAGUGUUUGUCACGCCCCGCUCGUACGAUCCUCGUGUGUGCCACGCCCUCCUGAUUAUCCACGUGUGCUUCCCUGAUCGUACCCAGCUGUGUCUAGUUAUUUUGAUCAGUCCUGUUUAUUUCAGUGCGUGUCUUACCUCAGUUCCUC
Molecule: RNA transcript, 6401 nt
Organism: Brienomyrus brachyistius
Lineage: Eukaryota; Metazoa; Chordata; Actinopteri; Osteoglossiformes; Mormyridae
Gene name: syntaxin-binding protein 5-like
Exons: 31
Source: RefSeq, a predicted model, not a curated record